AUGGUGCGAAUGUGCGCACUCACACACCCUUUGCGUUCGUGAUUGAGCCCCGGCCUUUGCUUAUCACCCUCCUCCCCUCUCACCUUUCUUUUGUUUUUUUCUUUUUCUUUCAGCCCUCCUUGCCGCUGUUCGUGCCUCUCGCCACCUCCGUUCACCUCUGUACUGUUGAGAGCAGUCGUUUGUGUUGGUUAGGGUACACUUGCGCCAAGGAGGCACAAACACGCGCACUCGUGCACACGGACACACACACACUCACGCACACUCACACGCAUACCGCAGCACCCCCGUCGCACCUGCUCUCCUGCUCAACCCCCUUUUUGCUUUUUUUCCUUGCGAAAGUGCAGCCUUUGCGGCUGUCAGUUCAAGCCUCAAUACAUUUUUUGCUGUGGUUUCUCCAUUUUCCUCUGCCCCUCCCCCUGCCGGCCCGCUACUCUCUAUCACUUCAUUAUUAGACCCCACUUCUCCUUCGCGUGUGUAUGUGCGUGGAUAUUUUUUCCCUCCCCUUUUCCGCUGUGUCCUCCGUGAUCACGCUUUCUUGCUCCCUUUGUACAACCAGCUACAUCUACUAGAUAAUUGUCCCUUCUCACCCCACCUCACAUCUCCCUCGCUCUCGCGCGCAAACCAGGCGUCUAUACACAGGGGCACACACACACACACGCACGCGCACGCGCAGAUACGGAAAGGUAGGCACUUGCUCUUCUCGCUUCAACGACGUAGAGGAACCGUGUGGCAUUGCCCAUAGGCUUGAAGCCGAAGCUGGGAGAAAGAGAAGAGGGUGCUCGUUGGGGAGCAAAGAAGCAGCCAAGACUACUGCUGAUGAACCGUCCGCGGGACUUCAAGCGCAAGACGGCGCAUCCACCGUCGCCGGCCUCCGCGGCGACAGUUGCAAGUGUGUCCCCUAUUCCUGUUCGCGCACCCACCAUGCGGGUGAGCUCUCUCGAAGGAGUUGAUGGCAGUGAAACGCCGCAACAGAGGCAGCGGGCCGCAGAGAGUCUGGCCUCGCAGGGGCAGCACCAAGCCGAAGGUGUGGUGAAAGCCAAAAGCGACGCGCAAGCCACUGAUAUUUAUGGCAGCAGCGACUCGUCCGUUCCCAUGGUAGCUGCAGGUGACGCGUGUAGCCGCGCAAGCCGCGCCAGCCCGCUUUUAUCCAGCUCUGAACCCGCUCUCUCAUCAACCGCUCGGCUUGCAUCGGUACCCGGAAUAUUUUCUUCUUGUUUGGCCUCUGCCGCGUUGCGGAAGACGAAGGUGUCGGAGGGGCACAGCUCUAACCAACCGCCAACUUCGCAGCAGCUGCGGCAGACUUUGAGGGCGCGUGCCACCGUUUUCCGACCACCUGUACGUGGAGGCGCGCACUCUCCGCGAGGAGGGGUCCCAAAAGUGUGCCCGCCGGCACCCCUCGCGAGCGGUGCGGCUGCAGCACAUGGACGCGUUGCUUCUGUGUCGACUUCAACUCCACCGCCGGCAAGCCCUGAGGCUCUCUCCGCGCACGAGGAACACGCCAGCGGUGUACCCGUGUCGCGCAGCAGCCGUAGUCGGCGCUCUUCAACCUCUGCGCUCCCGUUGUCACACACGUAUUCGGGCGCGGAAGUGCAGGGUAGUAACACAAACGUCAUUACCAGCAGCAGCACCAACAACCGCGGCUCGGCGCGCAGUCUGGGAAACGACACCGUCAUCUCCACCGCCGUGGGCCGGCAGCGGCCGAACAUGGCGGCGGUUUUGCUGCCGACGCAGCAGCUGCUGGAGAACGGCUACUACUUGGCGUCCGACGAGAGCGCGAACUCGAGCUUCUCCGACACUCCGCGCUCGGCGCGGCGCAUCUCUCUGGGUAGCAGCUCCUCUCUGCGCACCACAACGCAGCGGCUGGACGUGAACAGUAGCGGCGCUGUUGGUGGGGGUCGGUCGGCCACGGUAGCUACUGGCGCCUCCCCAAGCGGUAUCAACAGCCUUCGUGAUAGCCGGGACCCCAACAGCUACAGCCGAGGAAACUGCAGUGACGACAACAGCGACAUCAUGUUCGAGGAGGAAAAUGACCUCUGCAACUUCGACGAGGAGGACGAGGAACAGGCAGUGCUCACGUACAUGGACUCUGGGGCAGAGGGGAACCUUCCGGGCCGGCCAUCCUCAUCGAAUCGGGCACCACCGCCGCCAUCGGCGCGCCAGGGGUUGCUGUCCGCGACGGGUGCAGGUGAUGGGCCAAGCAUCGACCCCAGCUCCCUCAGCGUGAGCGUCGAAGUCGGCGACACCGACUACGACAUCGGCGAGGAUCCGCCAAGCUGUAUGUCUGUCAGCUCGCCGCCACAGCUGCAUCGUCGCGGCGCACCAGCGCUGCGCAUCUCCGCCUGCUCAGUGCGCAGUUCGGCGGCGGCUGAUUGGCAUGCCCCGACGAUGGUGCGUCGGCCAACCAGCGUUAGCAAAGCGAGCGGCGCGCCGUCGUUCCAGGCGGCGGUCACGCCAGCCAAGUUAACCACUGUCACUGCAGUGCCACGCAUGCUGUCGCGGCAGCACUCGACUGCGACUGCAGCUACCUCUUCCCGGCCUACUCCACUCACCACUGCGGCUGUGCACACGCCGCUGACAGCCACGUCGUCGUCUCCACGCUUCGCGUCGUUCUCACCGAGCCUGCAGCUGUCGUCCAUGAACGAGGAGGAGCUCCGCGAACGGGAGUGCAAGCAGCUUAGUCUCUACGAGGCGUUCUUUUUCAAUCCAACUCGAAGUAUGUGGCUCGUCGACGACCACGUCCUGGCCAAGGUUCUCGAGUAUGUGCGGAUAAUGGGAUACGAGCACCCCGCCUUGAAGCGCGACCGCCUCAAAGGUCAGCCCUCUCUGUGGAGCAGCAGCAGCGCCAUCGCCUCCCCUAUCGCUCCAGCGAAGUCGAAGAAGAAGGCUGCCGGCGUGAGGAACGCGAACUCGACAGCGCCGCAGAACAUGCACGCGUCGUCGUCGUCUGCCGCUGCCGAGGCCGUGGUGGAGGCUCUCGCACAGCCGGGCAGCGCCAACGCCUCACACACUCUGCCGACUGCUGCUGGCGGCUCUGCCGAUUCCGCAGCGUUUGCGACCAAGCACUUCUGCUUGAAGGCUGGCAAGCCCCGCUGUGCUCGGCAGUACGUGAACAGGUCCACGGCGACUGCUGCGUCACAUUUGUUUCUUACCUUCAGUGAGGCCAUGCGGUGGAUUGCGGAGCAGGAGUACGUUAUCGGCACUGUGCUGCUGUGCUGCGCACGCUUUAUCGGAGACCCGAACGCCGACGGGGCGGCGGUUCUUGGCGACGGCGUGGCGGACACUGCGCCGUGGCAUCCACGCCGUGCACUGCUGCAACGCAGAAAGCCGUGCAUCCCUCUGCGGUUCCACCCCAUCCACUUCGCGGCCUCUCUCGUGUGCUCGCGGUUCCCACAGUGGGGUGGAAUGUCCGCCUUCACCCGUGCCUGGGAGACGCAGAUCCGCCUGGUCCUGGGAAGCGCGUCGCCGUCGCACCAACGCCUCUUCAAGCUCCCCGACGACGCCCUCUUGCUCAGCUCCGACUGUGAGGCGGGAAACCUGCACCGUGUGGAGCGCGCAGGGGAGCCGUACUCCUUUCUUAUUUGGUUGGAGCCGGAUUUGGGGAGCGACAAGCGGAUUUGGUUCCGCUUCUCUGUGACAGGGGCGAAGGAGGGGCGCAGGCUGCGGUUUCGGCUCAUGAACGCGGCACCACACGUGAAGUUGUACCGGCAGAACGGCAUGAUGCCCGUGUGGCGUGAUGGGCUGAGCCAGCCGAACUGGGGGCCCGUGGACUCGUGCUCCUUCCGCACUACAAACCGGGACCUGGACGGCGAGGUGAGUUUCUCCAUAAACCCGCGAAACUCUACCGAAACGAUCCAGAUCGCCUUCUGCGCCCCGUACACGUACGCCGACUUGCUCUGCCACGUGUGCCACUGGCACGCCCUUGUGAAGAGCAGCGGGUGUGACAUGCGCUUCGAGGAGCGGGUGCUGUGUCGGAGUCCGGAUGGGCGAAAGCUUCAUUUGCUCAUCGUGACCAGCCGCGUCGGCGGCGCACCAGCGUUGGCGGCGACCGAAGACAAGAGCACUUCGGACGCAGCGAUUUCGGGCGGACGAGGGCACACUGGCGUGGGCGCGGAUGGCGUGGCGGCAGCAGGUGCGGGCUCCUCCAGUGGCUGGACGUCCCCUGGCGUCGCGAGCCCCACGAUGACGAUCCCACCCGGGAAGGGCAAGGGCGGUGCCACAAAGGAGGCGGUGCGUGGCCCGUACGCCAACUUCGCCUCUGGCAAAAAAGUCGUGCUCGUCAGUGGACGGGUGCACCCUGGCGAGGUGACGGCGUCGCACGGCGUCCACGGCCUCAUUUCUUUCCUGCUCUCCAGCGACGUUCGCGCGAUCCAGCUGCGCGAGCACUUCAUAUUCUUCAUUGUGCCAAUGCUCAACCCCGACGGCGUCAGCCGCGGUCAUUCCCGCAUGGACCAGUUCGGCAACAACCUCAACCGCUGCUACAACGACCCAGACGCGGAGACUCAGCCAACCGUGCUCGCGCUGCGGCGCGUGUUCGAGCACCUGCAGCACACGUAUCGCGAGCGCUUUAUCAUGUACCUCGACUUCCACUCCCACGCCUCGCAAUCCAGCGGCUUUAUGUUCGGCAACAACCUGCCCGUGUCUGUGCAGCACUGGAACCUCUUUUUUCCGCGCCUGGUGGAGCUGCACGUCCGUCAUGUCUUCUCCUUUGCGCUCUGCCGCUUUGGCCGCGUGCACAUGACAAGCAAGGAUGGGGCCUCGCGGGUGCUGUUUGGCAGCAGUCUCAUCCACAGCUACACGGUCGAACUGCCGCACUUCACGGACCGCCGCCUUUACGCGGACGAAUACGCAGCCAUGAACAACGGCAGCAACGUGCUCUUUGAGGUGACGUGGCCGCCGCUACACCAGACGUCAGGGCAGGCCGGCAGCGUUGACGUGAAUGAGGACGGUGCGCAGGAUGCUGAGAACGGUUCCGAAGGGAAGUGGCGCGGCGUGCGUCCGGCAGCCGGGGCUCGCGGCCUCUAUAAACGGUCGAAUAUGUUGCUCGCCGGCCGCGGAAGGGCAUGCCGGUCGAACCGUGAGAGCUCGUCAGCUCAGGCCAGGGAUGGCUCCCCGCCCAAGAAGUCUUCCGGUGCCGCCCCGAGGAGCCCGGGGCAUGCUAACUCGGCCGGCGUGGGCGAGCACUGUAGCGGUCAGUCCUCUGCAACUCAGAUCGGCGGUACGAGGUUGGCGUCGUUUCUGCAGCCCAUCUCCACCCCCUCCAUCCUUUGCCAGAGCGCGGAGGUGGGACAGGCGUGCCUGUUGGCGCUGCGCGACUACUGCUCCAUCGGUGCCCGUCCGUCGCCAGAGCUGACAAUGUUCGGCGGCAUGGACGGCGUGCUGCGUGAUUCGAAGCGCCAAGUCAAGUUGGACUCGUCGAGGAAGUGCAAGAAGGCCCAGUCAGUCGCCACAUACGCUGGGAUAAACCCCAUCUACAAGCAAUACUAGCCUACCUCGCAGCUGAAAACCUUAGCAGUAGCUAUUACGGUGCUCACACGGAUUGUAGAUCAGGGGUGCUAGGGUUGCCGCCCCAAGAAAACUCGACCCGUGCCUCGGAGGGAGUGCAUCGGAAUCAAUGGCGUACACCGAAAGACGCAUGCGGGCAGCGCGUGUCUUUCGAUGCGUAUGCGUGUCUUACCCGGCUUCCUUCUGGUUGGCUAUUCGCUUUUCCCAGUGUUGGAGGUCGUCUCUCACUACCUUGAUAGUGUCCCUGAGAUGCCUACCUCUCAUUGUGUGCCUGCGUAAGAGCAAAGUAAGUCACGACAGUGGCGAGACCUAGUGUAGGUGCUCUGUGUGCAGGUGUUCAUGCGUUGCUUGUCAUGAGUCACGGCUCUUGUCUCCGUCGCGAGAAACGCAGACGCCGCAGCACUGGCGUCAGCGGUCGCCG
RNAcentral lists this unclassified non-coding RNA (5923 nucleotides) under Leishmania donovani. RNAcentral describes it as "gene:LdHU3.36.5660(CDS-product:zinc_carboxypeptid ase_putative)". Lineage: Eukaryota; Euglenozoa; Kinetoplastea; Trypanosomatida; Trypanosomatidae. The record is from RNAcentral.